AGGUAGUUCAAAUUUGUAAACUGUGGAUGUCUUGCUAUUUUCCAUGUGAUUUUGGGAGAUCUCUAAAAAGCCAGUUAGAGCCUGGAAUGAGUUCGCAUCUUCAUUCAAGAUGGGCACCAAAAGCCGCAUACUUUUGGGGAGUUAGUUCUUCCGGCAUUGAAUACACCUUGGCCAUGUCCAAUGCGUUUUCCGGAGUACACUCCAAUUUUGACGAUUUCAUAGUUGAUUUAGGAUAUGAUUUUGAGACCUUUCGCUUUUGUGGUUUCUCCCGCAUUUUUUAGAUACCAAAA
RNAcentral lists this unclassified non-coding RNA (290 nucleotides) under Hevea brasiliensis (rubber tree). Lineage: Eukaryota; Viridiplantae; Streptophyta; Magnoliopsida; Malpighiales; Euphorbiaceae. The record is from RNAcentral.